ACUUCUAAAUAAUGAUGCUCUGGAUACGUACAUCUUGAAUAACAAGCAUCUAGACAAAUUAUACAAUACAAUUCAAGAAGCAAUCAAAAUGAAACGGAUACGAGAAGUAGAGCUACUAACAUAUUGUAAUAUCAAGCAGCCAGAAUUGUGAUACAGAUCAGACACAUGGAUCCUAGCAUUAUGCAAAUCCUUAUCUACCAUGAAUUUUACAUUUCUAGAAUACAACGUUCGGGAUGGUAAAACACAGAACUGUAACCAUCCAAACAAAUUAUACAAAUCGAGCACACAGCAAGAGGAAACAGCUCCAGGGACUCCAGUGUAUAGAGUUGAAGGUAUAUUCUAACAAAUUCAAAUAUAACCGAGAAACAAUACAAAGAACUGCAGCCUGUUCAGCUCAUUGUUCAUUCAAACUUUCUAAAAUGUCAGGACAUGUUCUAUCUCACACUGCUCAAUACUCCAACAGCGAAGAGCUGGUUGAUGUGCCCUCGCUAAAUGCAAGCAGCCGAUGUAAUUUACUGAUUGGCAGUACUAAAGCCAAACAGCUCGGCCAGCUGCAAAUCCUACACUCCAGUUCAAAGAACACUAAGAAUGCAAGGUUGUCGAAUUCACAAUCUACCAUGAAUUUACAUUCUUCUGCCUAACGUUCACUUUCAAUCCCUGAAAAAAAAACUAUAUGAAAACACGAGGAAAUGUAAGGGCAAAAUCUAUCUCGCACUGUUCAAGCUCCAACAGCGAAGAGCUGGUUGUUAUGCCCUCAUUAGAUAUGUGCAGCCGAAUUAAUUUACCGCUUGGCAGUACUACAGCCAAGCAGCUCGGCCGGCUGCAACCUCGUGAUGCAUACAUUCGCCAAGCAUCUUAGAGAUUUGAAAAUCACAAACAAUAUUAUUAACUGAGAAAUCAGAUCAAAUGUCAAGUUGGAUAAAACCUGAAACAGGAAGAACAGUACUCGGUUGCAAUUGAUCUAAGUAUAAGGAAGAUCCAGUUACAACUACCGCGAACCUGGAAGGGAGUGAAGAUAGCAGAUUAAAAAGCAUGAUGCAGAGAUGGAUAGGGAGAAGAGAGGCAGCCGAGUACCUGAGCUUCGAGAGACGAACGAAUAGGGAUUUAGUGGGUUACGAAAAGGAAAUUAGGGGUUUA
RNAcentral lists this long non-coding RNA (1137 nucleotides) under Linum usitatissimum (flax). RNAcentral's name for it is "long non-coding RNA (LUSI_LNC004660)". Lineage: Eukaryota; Viridiplantae; Streptophyta; Magnoliopsida; Malpighiales; Linaceae. The record is from RNAcentral.